GACGAACGCUGGCGGCGUGCUUAACACAUGCAAGUCGAACGGUGAAGCGCCUUCCUUUUUGGUGGGUGUGGAUGAGUGGCGAACGGGUGAGUAACACGUGAGUAACCUGCCCCCUUCUUCUGGAUAACCGCAUGAAAGUGUGGCUAAAGCGGGAUAUUCUGGGUCUGUCGCAUGAUGGGUCUGGGAAAGAUAUUGUUUCGGUGGGGGAUGGGCUCGCGGCCUAUCAGCUUGUUGGUGGGGUGAUGGCCUACCAAGGCGGUGACGGGUAGCCGGCCUGAGAGGGUGGACGGUCACACUGGGACUGAGACACGGCCCAGACUACUACGGGAGGCAGCAGUGGGGAAUAUUGCACAAUGGGCGCAAGCCUGAUGCAGCGACGCCGCGUGAGGGAUGGAGGCCUUCGGGUUGUGAACCUCUUUCGCCAGUGAAGCAGGCCUGCCUAGUUUGUGGGUGGGUUGACGGUAGCUGGAUAAGAAGCGCCGGCUAACUACGUG
RNAcentral lists this ribosomal RNA (494 nucleotides) under uncultured bacterium. RNAcentral describes it as "partial 16S ribosomal RNA". It matches the Rfam family "Bacterial small subunit ribosomal RNA", at positions 28 to 507 of the family's 1533-position model. The record is from RNAcentral.